This 286-nucleotide ribosomal RNA is filed under the name uncultured bacterium. Its description in RNAcentral is "partial 16S ribosomal RNA". It matches the Rfam family "Bacterial small subunit ribosomal RNA", at positions 47 to 361 of the family's 1533-position model. The record is from RNAcentral.
UCUAACACAUGCAAGUCGAGCGAGGUUUAGAACCGAGCGGCGAACGGGUGCGUAAUACUUGGAAAUCUGCCUCAGAGUGGGGGAUAGCCGGCAGAAAUGCUGGAUAAUACCGCAUAAUCCCGCAAGGGCAAAGCGCGCAGCGCUCUGAGAUGAGUCCAAGCCUGAUUAGCUAGUUGGUGGGGUAAAAGCCUACCAAGGCGACGGUCAGUAGCUGGUUUGAGAGAAUGACCAGCCACACUGGAACUGAGACACGGUCCAGACUCCUACGGGAGGCAGCAGUGGGGAA